RNA transcript from Brassica napus (rape), 1825 nucleotides. RefSeq lists it as uncharacterized. The record is from RefSeq and is a predicted model, not a curated record. The transcript is spliced from 2 exons. NCBI's taxonomy places the organism in Eukaryota, Viridiplantae, Streptophyta, Magnoliopsida, Brassicales, Brassicaceae.
GAUUUUGAUUUUUUUGUUACUCUUUCUUAUUACCAGCGAAGCAAAUAAAAGACUUUUGAAUUGUGGGAACACAAAGUUGUUGGAGCAUAAUUCAUCUCUUUGAGGUAUGUUGCAGAUUCAACCUUCUGUGUGUUUGUACAAAUUUAUAAAAUAAAAGUUUGUUGUCUCUUGCUGCAUCUAUUGAAUGUUUUUAGAAGAUUUCCAGAAAGCAUUUGUUGCUGCAUCUAUUGAAUGUUGAAUAUUGAAACUCGUAUGGUAACACAUUUUGAAACUUUUUUGCUUGGAGUCUUGUUUUGAUUAGGAAUGUUGAUAUUUUUGAUAGGGUCUUGAAUUUGCUUAUGAGCCUUUUGUUGCUUGUGAAACUGUCUAGUGUUUAUAAUAAUUUCAGGAAGCAUUUGUUGUGUUAUUUCAGGAAAGCCUUCCAGAAAAGUUUGAAAUUUUUUUUCCUUGUUUACGCAGGAUAGAAACAAGAUGGGAGAUUCAGUACCUCUAAAACUAGCACUGCCAGAGCUGAAGUAUCCUAUUGGUUCACAGCCAAAGCAAAAGUCAGCAAUCAACCAAUAUUCCGGCUCAGAGUAUAUCUCCAUUGUUGACAGCAUCCUAAAACCAGAUGAGAUGAUAAGAGUCCGAGGAUCAUUUCUGGGACCUAUAAUGAAGCUCAGUGAGAGAGGAUUGAAGUUAUCAGCAAAGAUGGUCUACGCCAUUCUCACUAGAAGCAUCGUUUCUGUCAAGGAGAAUGAAGCCUGGUUCCAUUUCGGUGCGCAGCCAAUGAGGUUCUCUAUAAGAGAAUUUCAUAUGAUGACAGGCUUGAAAUGUAGUGGUGCAUUAGAAGGACCACGAAGGGAAACCAAUAGAUUUAAUUGGGAAUUGCUAAAGGGGCGUAGUCAUAAGUUAAGUGACGUGGUGGAACAGCUCAGAAACACAAGAGAAGAUGCUUCUGAGGAGAGAGUAUGCCUCGCAAUGCUCAUCCUGGUAGAGAGCAUAUUAUUGCGGAAGAGCAAAGGAGGGAGUUUUCCUUUGGAAUAUGCGAAAAAUGCACAGGAUAUGACAUAUCCAUGGGGGAAAGAGGCUUACAUUGUGCUCCUGAAGUCAAUUCAAAACGCUGUCGCGAAUCAUUUGGAGAAUAAAUCCAAAUUUGAGUUGCAAGGUUAUCCUCUAGUAUUCCUUCUUUGGAUACUAGAGUCGAUUCCUUUGCUAAGGAAUAAGUUCAGUAAGUGUGUACCAACAGUUGAUGUUCCUGGGCCGACUUACUUGUGUGAAAAAUACACUGAGGUAGAGAAUCCAUCACUUGAUAGGGUUUUACAGGUUGAAGCUGAUACAAAGGUAAGCUUUUCCAAGUAUAUGUUUCUCAGUUUAUUUGGCUUCUUCUUUUUAAUAUGUUUCUCAUUGGUUUUUUUAAAAAUACUCUCAGCUGAAGGUCCAUUGCAUACUACCUUCUAUUCCUCAUGAUCCAGAAGAUGAUAUCUCCAUUGAAACACUGAAAGAUGUAACAAAGAAAGGGUACAAGCUUACAGCCGAUGACUGGGAAAAUAGGUGUGUAGACACAUUUGAAACAUUGGAUGCUCUUAUUCAAAUGAUGGCAAAUAAGGAGACUGGCCAAGCUUCUACUCCGAUUAAUGAGGAUUCAGUAAAUGAAAAAGUUAACAGAAUCAUCGAGGUAAUGGAGGAGAAUCUGAAGAGCAUGAAGGAUCGAAUGUCAUUACUGGAAGAAGAAAACAUGCAUCUUAGAGCCCGUGUGUCAGAGUUGGAAGGAAACAACAAUGUUUUUCCCACUAACGUGACACAACAGCGAUCCAGUGGGACACCUUUAUCUCCAAUGUCUCAC